Molecule: ribosomal RNA, 460 nt
Filed under: uncultured bacterium
Lineage: Bacteria
Description: partial 16S ribosomal RNA
Rfam family: Bacterial small subunit ribosomal RNA
Source: RNAcentral
CCUACAGGUGGCAGCAGUGAGGAAUAUUGGUCAAUGGCCGGAAGGCUGAACCAGCCAAGCCGCGUGAGGGAGGAAGGCGCAGAGCGUCGCAGACCUCUUUUGCCGGGGGACAAAAGGCCGGACGGGUCCGGUUCUGAGGGUACCCGGAGAAAAAGCAUCGGCUAACUCCGUGCCAGCAGCCGCGGUAAUACGGAGGGCGCGAGCGUUAAUCGGAAUUACUGGGCGUAAAGCGCGCGUAGGCUGUUGUGUAAGUUGGGGGUGAAAUCCCACGGCUCAACCGUGGAACAGCCCUUGAUACUGCGCGACUUGAAUCCGGGAGAGGGUGGCGGAAUUCCAGGUGUAGGAGUGAAAUCCGUAGAUAUCUGGAGGAACAUCAGUGGCGAAGGCGGCCACCUGGACCGGUAUUGACGCUGAGGCGCGAAAGCGUGGGGAGCAAACAGGAUUAGAUACCCCAGUAGUC